UGUAGGAGCUGGCUUGCUAGCGAUGGCAUCAACGCGGUGCAUCAUUUCGACCGAGGUGAUGCCAUCGCUAGCAAGCCAGCUCCUACA
RNAcentral lists this unclassified non-coding RNA (87 nucleotides) under Pseudomonas migulae. Lineage: Bacteria; Pseudomonadati; Pseudomonadota; Gammaproteobacteria; Pseudomonadales; Pseudomonadaceae. The record is from RNAcentral.